GUGGGGAAUUUUGGACAAUGGGCGCAAGCCUGAUCCAGCAAUGCCGCGUGCAGGAAGAAGGCCUUCGGGUUGUAAACUGCUUUUGUACGGAACGAAAAGGCUCUGGUUAAUACCUGGGGCUCAUGACGGUACCGUAAGAAUAAGCACCGGCUAACUACGUGCCAGCAGCCGCGGUAAUACGUAGGGUGCAAGCGUUAAUCGGAAUUACUGGGCGUAAAGCGUGCGCAGGCGGUUUUGUAAGACAGAGGUGAAAUCCCCGGGCUCAACCUGGGAAUUGCCUUUGUGCCUGCAAGGCUGGAGUGCGGCAGAGGGGGAUGGAAUUCCGCGUGUAGCAGUGAAAUGCGUAGAUAUGCGGAGGAACACCGAUGGCGAAGGCAAUCCCCUGGGCCUGCACUGACGCUCAUGCACGAAAGCGUGGGGAGCAAACAGGAUUAGAAACCCUUGUAGUCC
Molecule: ribosomal RNA, 450 nt
Filed under: uncultured bacterium
Lineage: Bacteria
Description: partial 16S ribosomal RNA
Rfam family: Bacterial small subunit ribosomal RNA
Source: RNAcentral